AGUGAACGCUGGCGGUAGGCCUAACACAUGCAAGUCGAACGGCAGCACAGUAAGAGCUUGCUCUUACGGGUGGCGAGUGGCGGACGGGUGAGGUAUACAUCGGAAUCUACUUUUUCGUGGGGGCUAACGUAGGGAAACUUACGCUAAUACCGCAUACGACCUACCGGUGAAAGCAGGGGAUCUUCGGAUCUUGCGCGAUUGAAUGAGCCGAUGUCGGACUAGCUAGUUGGCGGGGUAAAGGCCCACCAAGGCGACGAUCCGUAGCUGGACUGAGAGGAUGAUAAGCCACACUGGAACUGAGACACGGUCCAGACGCCUACGGGAGGCACCAGUGGGGAAUAUUGGACAAUGGGCGCAAGCCUGACCCAGCCAUACCGCGUGGGUGAAGAAGGCCUUCGGGGUGUAAAGCCCUUUUGUUGGGAAAGAAAAGCAGCAGGUUAAUACCCCGCUGUUCUGACGGUACCCAAAGAAUAAGCACCGGCUAACUUCGUG
Molecule: ribosomal RNA, 492 nt
Filed under: uncultured bacterium
Lineage: Bacteria
Description: partial 16S ribosomal RNA
Rfam family: Bacterial small subunit ribosomal RNA
Source: RNAcentral